Molecule: ribosomal RNA, 475 nt
Filed under: Pseudomonas sp. 'Disko Bay 116'
Lineage: Bacteria; Pseudomonadati; Pseudomonadota; Gammaproteobacteria; Pseudomonadales; Pseudomonadaceae
Description: bacterial SSU rRNA
Rfam family: Bacterial small subunit ribosomal RNA
Source: RNAcentral
CUCAGAUUGAACGCUGGCGGCAGGCCUAACACAUGCAAGUCGAGCGGCAGCACGGGUACUUGUACCUGGUGGCGAGCGGCGGACGGGUGAGUAAUGCCUAGGAAUCUGCCUGGUAGUGGGGGAUAACGCUCGGAAACGGACGCUAAUACCGCAUACGUCCUACGGGAGAAAGCAGGGGACCUUCGGGCCUUGCGCUAUCAGAUGAGCCUAGGUCGGAUUAGCUAGUUGGUGAGGUAAUGGCUCACCAAGGCGACGAUCCGUAACUGGUCUGAGAGGAUGAUCAGUCACACUGGAACUGAGACACGGUCCAGACUCCUACGGGAGGCAGCAGUGGGGAAUAUUGGACAAUGGGCGAAAGCCUGAUCCAGCCAUGCCGCGUGUGUGAAGAAGGUCUUCGGAUUGUAAAGCACUUUAAGUUGGGAGGAAGGGCAGUAAAUUAAUACUUUGCUGUUUUGACGUACCGACAGAAUAGCUC